GAAAAUCACCACUUCUGCAUUCUCUGAUCAGGGAUUGUAGUUAAUUAGUAAUUACACAAAAUGAUAUGCCAAAGUCCUAUAAUUACAAACUUAACCUUUUAUUUAAGGAGGAGGAUUGCUGGUUUUGUUCUUCGCUUGUACCCUUUCCAGCAUGCAAUUGGUGAAAGAAUGGAAGAAAGAAAGAAAGAAAAGCAGGAUCCUUAAAAGAAAAUCUGGUUUUGUUCGUGGCACUUUUAGAAUUUGUAACUGAGGUUUAGUGAUUUGCUCUUUUUUAUUCAUUUGUUUUCAUAGAGCUGCUGUUUUAUGUUACCAUUCUGUUUCGGUGGAGCCAUAAACCUCAGCGAGCUACUUGGUCCAAACAUGAAGAGAGUGGGCCCUUUCUUGAAUCACAUCCAGUUGUGUCAUGACUCCAUUAAAGACAAGUCAUACCACUGCAUCAACGACUGCGGAGCGGAUUAUCUCUUGUGGCUGAUGCAAUGAAUGGGUGUCCAAGUCCUCCAAAUGGGCAAAUAGUUGGUGUAUCAGAGACUUGUUAAAAGAGGCACAAUUUAAUUUCAGGUCACUGAAAUACAUCUGGGAAUGAUUUUUCCGAUAUGUGUGUAAACGUGAAAAGAACAAUUCCAGCCGUUUGCAUCCCUCCAGCCCGGCUACCUCAGGGGCAGGGGGAGAAAGACUCUGCUUUCCCAGCCCGCCUGGUAUGUAGCAUUAACAGAUA
Non-coding RNA from Struthio camelus australis, 715 nucleotides. Lineage: Eukaryota; Metazoa; Chordata; Aves; Struthioniformes; Struthionidae. The record is from RefSeq and is a predicted model, not a curated record.